ACKGCUCAGUAACACGUAGCUAACCUGCCCUCAAGCCCGUGAUAUCCUCGGGAAACUGAGGUUAAUAACGGAUAGAUGAUUUUUUCUGGAAUGAUUAAUCGUCGAAAUUUCGCGUGAGGAUGGGGCUGCGGCGGAUUAGGUAGUUGGCGGGGUAAUAGCCCACCAAGCCGAUGAUCCGUAAGGGCCUUUAGCGAGGAAGCCCUGAGAGGGAGUCUGAGAUACUACUCCCAGCCCUACGGGGUGCAGCAGUCGGGAAACUUUUGCAAUACACGAAAGUGUGACAAAGCAAGCCAGAGUGCUCUUCUUUUUAGAAGAGCUUUUGUGAGAUGUAAAAAGUCUUGCGAAUAAGGACUGGGCAAGACUGGUGCCAGCCGCCGCGGUAACACCGGCGGCUCGAGUGGUAACCGUUAUUAUUGGGUCUAAAGGGUCUGUAGCCGGCCGGAUAAGUCUCUUGAGAAAUCUGGCAGCUUAACUGUCAGGCUAUCAGGGGAUACUGUCUGGCUCGAGGCCGGGAGAGGUGAGAGGUACUUCAGGGGUAGGGGUGAAAUCUUGUAAUCCUUGAAGGACCACCAGUGGCGAAGGCGUCUCACCAGAACGGACCUGACGGCAAGGGACGAAAGCUAGGGGCACGAACCGGAUUAGAUACCCGGGUAGUCCUAGCCGUAAACGAUACUCGCUAGGUGUCGGCCACGGUGCGACCGUGGUCGGUGCCGUAGGGAAGCCGUGAAGCGAGCCACCUGGGAAGUACGGCCGCAAGGCUGAAACUUAAAGGAAUUGGCGGGGGAGCAC
This 789-nucleotide ribosomal RNA is filed under the name uncultured archaeon. RNAcentral's name for it is "bacterial SSU rRNA". It matches the Rfam family "Archaeal small subunit ribosomal RNA", at positions 85 to 879 of the family's 1478-position model. The record is from RNAcentral.